Molecule: long non-coding RNA, 1530 nt
Organism: Pocillopora damicornis (cauliflower coral)
Lineage: Eukaryota; Metazoa; Cnidaria; Anthozoa; Scleractinia; Pocilloporidae
Source: RefSeq, a predicted model, not a curated record
GGGCAUGGCGGACCGGAAGUGCUAACAAGAUCGUGAAAGUACACAUUUAAGGAGUCGGUACAGACGCUAAAAUUUCCCGCCCCCCUCGGUUCUUCGGCAUAUAAAAUCGAUCGCUGAAAGAGGAGCGGAUUAGUAAUAUUGCAGACAAGAUUUUAACAUCUUGAAAACCGCUAUGUUAAAUAUGUCACGCUAAUUUUCCAGCUGAUCUGGGAAAGAGAGGUCAUUUUGUUUAAACUUGAUACACCGUCCAUUUAAAGAUAUCGCUUUCCGUCUGCUUAACUUAUUCGAUAAACCAACAGCCCAUGGUGGAAAAAGCCGUUAUCACUGAUAACAAGCGCAAGAAAAUUUCGGAUUGCUUUAGAAGUGAUUGGUGAAGCCUUGUGAUAGUGCCUUGGGAAAUCAGACCAUGAAGUUAGCAAGAAGUCUAAACAAAGUUCGAAUUUCUGUCUGGCACGAGACAGACAGCUCACGGUGAAUAUUUCAUAACAAACUUUCAUGGAUGGCUGGUGUUCCAAAGGAAACAAUUUUAUGAUGGGCACGAAGCCACAUUGCUAAGGAAGAUGAUAGAAAAUGAUUCCUGUUGCGGCAAUCUUCACUCCCACCCGCUACUCAAUAUCUUCUUGGCCCUUGAAAGAAGAGCGCUAAAUAAGAGGUACUUAAACUGAUAACCAUAACCUAUCUAGUGGACUGUGUUAUGUUCAAGUCGCUUACGCUUAAGGCCCCCAGGAGUUAUAAAUUAUUUGCAUAAUUGUGUAAUUCGGGCACGUACUUUGAAGGUCUCUUUCCUUAUCUGGGAAAAGAUUACACCAGAUGGAGACCUUUGCGUGUGGAAACAUUCACAAGAGCUUGUUUGUGGUUUAAGGCCAAGUAAGAAAAUAUUUAAUUUUAAACUAGAUAUUGGCGCGCGCGCCAGGGGCUGUUCCAAGUACGCUUGGUGAAUAGAUUUGCUAUUUUUGUUUCAAAACACUAUAGCUUCAUGUUCAACAUUCGAGGAAGUUGAAAUCAAAUAAAAAAAAAUUUCCUCCAAGAACACGGAAAAUUUACACCCAAGAUCACUGGCACUUUUGUCCCCGCCUCAAAUUAUUUGCCAAGCCACUCCUCCCCUCUCCGUCCCUCUCCUCCCUCCCUCUCCCCUACCCUCCUAUGAAGAAAAAGAAAACUCCAGUUUGGUUCCAGUCAAUAGAACUGUUCUACAUACAUUAAAGGAGCUAGGAAGUAAGACUUGGUUGUAUUGAAGUGUGGCGACCUUGCAGUUUCUGAGUUAUUCCCUUCGUCAAGAAGGUUACAUCUACUUUGGAAUCCACAUUUGUUAACACAAAAUAUUUUUCUCUCUUACAAGCAUCGGUUGAAAUACGAUCUCUCGAAGAGCUCUUACGUAAAAAAUUACUCUGGCCUGGGAAAAACUGUCGUUUAUACGACGAUCAAGCCGUUGGUUGCACAACACAGUGUUUCCUAAUGAAAUAGGAGAGAUUUUGACCGUGUGAAAUGAGAAGCCACGAGUUCUAAAGCAUUAAAAAAUUCCAAAAAUUA